Molecule: ribosomal RNA, 277 nt
Filed under: uncultured bacterium
Lineage: Bacteria
Description: partial 16S ribosomal RNA
Rfam family: Bacterial small subunit ribosomal RNA
Source: RNAcentral
UCCGUCCUACGGGGGGCAGCAGUGAGGAAUAUUGGUCAAUGGCCGGAAGGCUGAACCAGCCACGCCGCGUGAAGGACGAAGGUGCCAAGCAUUGUAAACUUCUUUUGUCAAGGGACAAAAUCAGGCUCGAGAGCCUGACCGAGGGUACUUGAAGAAAAAGCAUCGGCUAACUCCGUGCCAGCAGCCGCGGUAAUACGGAGGAUGCGAGCGUUAUCCGGAUUUAUUGGGUUUAAAGGGUGCGCAGGCGGGAGAUCAAGUCAGCGGUAAAAUGUCGGGG